CAGGGUACUCGAGUGGCGAACGGGUGAGUAACACGUGGGUGAUCUGCCCUGCACUUCGGGAUAAGCUUGGGAAACUGGGUCUAAUACCGGAUAGGAACCAUCUUUAGUGUGGUGGUUGGAAAGUUUUUUCGGUGUAGGAUUAGCUCGCGGCCUAUCAGCUUGUUGGUGGGGUAAUGGCCUACCAAGGCGGCGACUGGUAGCCGGCCUGAGAGGGUGUACGGCCACAUUGGGACUGAGAUACGGCCCAG
Molecule: ribosomal RNA, 248 nt
Filed under: uncultured Actinomycetales bacterium
Lineage: Bacteria; Bacillati; Actinomycetota; Actinomycetes; Actinomycetales
Description: partial 16S ribosomal RNA
Rfam family: Bacterial small subunit ribosomal RNA
Source: RNAcentral